GACGAACGCUGGCGGCGUGCUUAACACAUGCAAGUCGAACGGGCACUUCGGUGCUAGUGGCGAACGGGUGAGUAAAGCGCAGGUAAUCUGCCGCAAAGUCGGGGACAACGUCCCGAAAGGGACGCUAAUACCGGAUGUUGUGAGAUUCUCGCAUGGGAGUUUCACUAAAGAUUUAUCGCUUUGCGAGGAGCCUGCGUCCGAUUAGGUAGUUGGUGUAGUAAAGGUGCACCAAGCCGACGAUCGGUAGCCGGUCUGAGAGGAUGAACGGCCACAAUGGAACUGAGACACGGUCCAUACUCC
Molecule: ribosomal RNA, 300 nt
Filed under: uncultured Veillonellaceae bacterium
Lineage: Bacteria; Bacillati; Bacillota; Negativicutes; Veillonellales; Veillonellaceae
Description: bacterial SSU rRNA
Rfam family: Bacterial small subunit ribosomal RNA
Source: RNAcentral